GAUCCUGGCUCAGGACGAACGCUGGCGGCGUGCUUAACACAUGCAAGUCGAACGGUGCGUAGAAAUACGCAUAGUGGCGGACGGGUGAGUAACGCGUGAGCAACCUGCCUCUGUCAGGGGGAUAACACUUAGAAAUAGGUGCUAAUACCGCAUAAGACCACGGCCCGGCAUCGGGGAGUGGUAAAAGCCGAGACGGACAGAGAUGGGCUCGCGUCCCAUUAGCUAGUUGGUGAGGUAACGGCCCACCAAGG
RNAcentral lists this ribosomal RNA (251 nucleotides) under uncultured bacterium. RNAcentral's name for it is "partial 16S ribosomal RNA". It matches the Rfam family "Bacterial small subunit ribosomal RNA", at positions 15 to 273 of the family's 1533-position model. The record is from RNAcentral.